Juglans microcarpa x Juglans regia is the source of this 169-nucleotide long non-coding RNA. RefSeq lists it as uncharacterized. The transcript is spliced from 3 exons. The record is from RefSeq and is a predicted model, not a curated record. Lineage: Eukaryota; Viridiplantae; Streptophyta; Magnoliopsida; Fagales; Juglandaceae.
AAAUAUUAUUAGAAUAUAAUUUUUUAAUAUUAUUUUUAUUUUAAGAUUUUUUUUGGUUUUCACAAAUUCACCAAGGUUCUCGGAACCUAGAAAUAAAGAAGGAAAUCAAUAAGGGUAGUAGGGCUGUAGCAUCUCUGAGAAGAAUGGCUCAUUUCUUCCCCCAGCCCCC